RNAcentral lists this ribosomal RNA (255 nucleotides) under uncultured bacterium. Its description in RNAcentral is "partial small subunit ribosomal RNA". It matches the Rfam family "Bacterial small subunit ribosomal RNA", at positions 26 to 286 of the family's 1533-position model. The record is from RNAcentral.
AGGACGAACGCUGGCGGCGUGCUUAACACAUGCAAGUCGAGCGGAAAGGCCCUUCGGGGUACUCGAGCGGCGAACGGGUGAGUAACACGUGAGUAAUCUGCCCCUAGCUCUGGGAUAGCUCCGGGAAACCGGGAUUAAUACCGGAUACGACCACCUUAGACAUCUUUUGUGGUGGAAAGAAUUUCGGCUAGGGAUGAGCUCGCGGCCUACCAGCUUGUUGGUGGGGUAACGGCCUACCAAAGCGACGACGGGUAG